This 549-nucleotide long non-coding RNA is filed under the name Ananas comosus (pineapple). RNAcentral's name for it is "long non-coding RNA (ACOM_LNC028123)". The record is from RNAcentral. Lineage: Eukaryota; Viridiplantae; Streptophyta; Magnoliopsida; Poales; Bromeliaceae.
GACUUUUUUCGAAAAUAACCCUGUGAAAUUUUGUAAUUGGCAAAAUAACCCUCUGAAAAUUUUAUUUGUGAAACUAACCCUCCUCUCGCCACCUCAGCCGCCACCUCAGCAUUUCUCGUAAAGACGGUGACUCAUUCACCGUCUUUACAAAAAACACUUGAAGAUGGCAAAUGGUUAACCGUCUUCUCUAGGCGUGGACCCUUCACCGCCUUCUCAGCAAUUCCCCUCGUAUCAGCGAAUUCGACGAAAAGACGGUGACUCGUUUACCGUCUUAACAAAGACGGUGAAUCGUCUACCGCCUUAUCUAGGCGUACACCAUUCGCCGCCUUCUCUGUUGCCCAAAUAAGACGGUGACUUGUUCACCGUCUUUACUUAAUCUUGAAGACGGUAAGUAGUUCACCGUCUUCUCUAGGCGUGGAACCUCCACCGCCUUCUCAGCAAUUCCCCGCGUAUCACCGCUUUCUCAGCAAUUCGCCGCAGAAGACGGUGAUUCGUUUAUCUCUUUAAGAAAGACGGUGAUUCGUUUACCUCUUUAAACCAUUCACCGCC